CACGUAGGGACCAAGCGUUGUCCGGAUUCAUUGGGCGUAAAGAGCUCGUAGGCGGUUCAGUAAGUCGGGUGUGAAACCUCCAGGCUCAACCUGGAGACGCCACCCGAUACUGCUGUGACUAGAGUCCAGUAGGGGAGCGUGGAAUUCCUGGUGUAGCGGUGAAAUGCGCAGAUAUCAGGAGGAACACCAGCGGCGAAGGCGGUGCUCUGGGCCGGAACUGACGCUGAGGAGCGAAAGCGUGGGGAGCGAACAGG
This 254-nucleotide ribosomal RNA is filed under the name uncultured bacterium. Its description in RNAcentral is "partial 16S ribosomal RNA". It matches the Rfam family "Bacterial small subunit ribosomal RNA", at positions 524 to 776 of the family's 1533-position model. The record is from RNAcentral.